Molecule: ribosomal RNA, 468 nt
Filed under: uncultured bacterium
Lineage: Bacteria
Description: partial 16S ribosomal RNA
Rfam family: Bacterial small subunit ribosomal RNA
Source: RNAcentral
GACGAACGCUGACGGCGUGCCUAACACAUGCAAGUCGAACGGAAAGGCCCUGCUUUUGUGGGGUGCUCGAGUGGCGAACGGGUGAGUAACACGUGAGUAACCUGCCCUUGACUUUGGGAUAACUUCAGGAAACUGGGGCUAAUACCGGAUAGGAGCUCCUGCUGCAUGGUGGGGGUUGGAAAGUUUCGGCGGUUGGGGAUGGACUCGCGGCUUAUCAGCUUGUUGGUGGGGUAGUGGCUUACCAAGGCUUUGACGGGUAGCCGGCCUGAGAGGGUGACCGGCCACAUUGGGACUGAGAUACGGCCCAGACUCCUACGGGAGGCAGCAGUGGGGAAUAUUGCACAAUGGGCGGAAGCCUGAUGCAGCAACGCCGCGUGCGGGAUGACGGCCUUCGGGUUGUAAACCGCUUUCGCCUGUGACGAAGCGUGAGUGACGGUAAUGGGUAAAGAAGCACCGGCUAACUACGUG